Pantherophis guttatus is the source of this 3553-nucleotide long non-coding RNA. RefSeq lists it as uncharacterized. Lineage: Eukaryota; Metazoa; Chordata; Lepidosauria; Squamata; Colubridae. The record is from RefSeq and is a predicted model, not a curated record.
AGCAGCCGCCGCUCCUUAAGCCACCCCUUAGAAGCCGCAAGCAGGCGAGUCGGGUGUGUUAUGGGGGCGGAUUGACAAGCCUCUCGUCCAAUAAAGAGAAAGAGCUGGUCCAGAGUUCCGCGGCAUCGCCAAGCGGUUGGCCAACGGGGGACUUCGGAGGGGAGAGCUUCAUUGGAGGCCCACCUGCUCGCCGAUCCGGCUUUCUCUAGCCGUCAGGCUCCCGUUGGGCGAGUGUGUUUGUGUCCGUGUAAAUCGGCGGCUCCCGGGGGAAUCUGCAGCGGAGGUCAAAGGAGGCAGCGAAAAUUGCGUGGAUAAGUUCCACAGGUUCUCAUCUACCUAACACAGAGUGGUCGCUGGAGGAGGAUUCUGCAUAGAAUUGCUGUGCUGCUGUAAGAUCUUGUUAUUGCUACAGCCUGGCAUGCUUUUUUGUCUUGUGUCAUACCAGCUUCAUGGGCCAUAAACUCUACUGAACUGCGAGGAGUAGGAAGAGAAAGAAGAGCAGUGAGAGGAGGUGGAAAAUGCUGGGCCAAGAAUUUACCUCAUUCUGGUAAGCCUAAGAGGGGCAUUUGCUAGAGUUCCACUGCUGGGGCUAAACCUUACAGAAAGUACCAUAUGGGCACCAGCAGUUACCACUUUCUUACUGUUCCCGUGGCAACCUGCUGACCGUGCCAGAUUUAGGCACAAGCUAAGCAAGUUACAGUUUAGGGUCUCAUUGGGGUCUCAUAGUCCAAAGGGGCCUCUCAAAAUUUCAGUUUUCUUUUCACUUGUUACAGUUUCAUUAUCAUUUCAUACUGCAAAGUCUCCAUUAAUUAAGCUAUUCUGUAUGGUUCACAUGAUCCUCAUUAAUUAACGUAUGCUUUGUUUCUGGCUACACUUAUACCUUCUAUUCACAGAGGAUCUUUCCCUACCACAUUGUGGAUUUUUUUAAUGCUUGGCAUUCUUGCCAAGUUCAGUUGUUAUAUAUGCCAGGUAGAAUCUCUAGAGUUUAAUCACUGUUAACACUUUCCAAACAAAACUGCUAAAGUUUCUCAAAGUUUAGCCCUCUCCUGCCAGCCAGUCCUUCCACUUCUUCCUUUAGUAGUGGUUCAACCCACAUCUAUUUCAUCCAAACUUCAUGAAGAGCGAGGAGACAGGAGAGUGAUAGCAUCUCUGAAGCUGCUCUGGUGGGCCAGUCAGCUAUGCUGUGGUGGACCAGCCAGAUCAGUAGGGUUGAGCUGCGCUUCUAUUAGCACUAAUAUAUAACCACUGACACAACCCAGCUUUAAUGAUAGACAGCUCCAAAUACCAGCUCUCCUUGAAGAAACAGUCAAACCUGGAUAUUGGCAGGCUGCCAACAGCUGAGCCAUGUCAUGAUGAGGCAUAGUCCCUUUUGGUGCUAGUUUCUCAACCAUCCAAAAAUUCUUACCCAUAGCAACAGCUUCCUUUUGCUGUUGUAUUCACCAGAUACAACAUUAGUUGUGGGGAGUAGUUGUACAGUUCAAGAUACAUUCAAGUAUCUAGUCCAGGACAUGCUUGUUUAUGGUUGUUAUCUCAUGAAACCACCCUAGUUCAGGAUAGUGAUGGAUACCCACCAAAAGUAGACUUUUAGAGACUUUCCAGACCCUCCUCUAACUCAUGUUUCUUUAUGGUAGUACCUUCAGAGAGAACAUCACCCUGUAUUCAGACAAGUAGUUCUGGCACAGAUUGUUAGCAGCCUGUACUGCAGUACAAUUUCCACUUCCCUUUCUUUCAGAGAUUGAUAGCCAUUGGGAUCAGCCAAUACACAGCACCAUUAACUGACCAAAUGCGCUCUUUUCCCAUAACUGUCUUAACUCCCCUACAAAAUAAAUCCUGCAUUGUUUAAACUGACUAGGUGCAAGAUGUUCUGCACAUGUAGCCACUUGCUUUUUAAAUAAAUACCUUAAGCAUGAAAGAUAGGUAAAGCUCUGGUUUCAUUUCCAUCCAAGUGGAAUGGCCACCAUUACUGUUGGGGAAGAGAGAAGAGGCUCUCUUCUCGCCAAGGCUCAAGGUUGACUCAGCCUUCCAUCCUUUCUAAGGUAGAUAAAUUGAGGACCCAGUUGUGGGGGCAAUAAGCUGACUUUGUAUAAAUAUACAAAAGGAUGAAGGCUAUUGCUGAGCACAUUGUAAGCCGCCCUGAGUCUUCGGAGAAGGGCGGCAUAUAAAUCAAAUUAAAAAAAAAAGAAGAAGAAGAAGAAAUAAUGACAGCCCACCUUCGGAAGCCAAAGACAGCAGCUUUUGCAUUGCUGACCUACCAUCUGGAGAAGGCAUUCAUGGCUGGGCUUUAUUGGCUAGUGAUGCCAUCGCUUAGCACAGCAUGGCUCAGUUCACGGCUGGGGUGGAAUCCUUGAGAGAGUGUGUAAUUGACUGUGGUAAUAGCUCCCUGUGUUCCCACUACAUUAAUUUAUGGACUGCACACAGGGUGUCAGGAUUUGUUGCUAUGCCUGGUAUAAGAUCUGAUAUAGGUGUACAUUGAAUUUCACACCAGUUAGUUUCCCAACUGAGGGAGUAGAUCCAGAUUGGGAUUAUGAUCACAAAUUGCUGUAACCCAUGAUUGGGACAAAGAGCUGAAGGUAUGUACACUGUUAUCUCAUCAUAUAUGAAAAUAAGAACUGGGCCCAAGGUAUAUAAUAGACUUCCUUGUAUAUCAGCGCUUGUGCCAUCCAAGCAGAGUUAGUUUGAUAAACCAUGAUUAAAACCGUAUGCUGUUUAUGAUUUUGUUUAAAACAGUACCCUCAUAGAAUUGUGCUUUGCAAUGGAAUGUAGUCAUUAUAAUAUGUUUUAGGAUAGCUUUGAAUGGAAUACGAGUUAAAUUAUUAAAAACUGACUUUAUAUUUUGUAUAUAAUAGAAGUCAACUGUGAAAGAAAAAAUGGAAACUACAUAAAUCAAAUCUUAAACCCAAUUUUUGUUUUUCUAAUCAAUAAUUUGGAAACGCCAGCUGGUACAUAUAGUAAGUUCAUAUGCUUCCUCUUGUUAUUGUUCUAAGAAAGGGUAAGUCAAGUAUAGGAUCUCCUGCUUGAGCAGGGGGCUGGACUAGAAGACCUCCAAGGCCCCAUCCAGCUCUAGUCUGAUUCGAUUCAAAGUAACCAAACUGAGUGGCCUUUUAAGUGUUGGCUCAGAGAGGAUACAAUUUAUCCAGCAAAUCUGGAAGCAAGAGAAACACUAAGGAAGAAACAGUAAGGAAGAUGCCUGCAUGGAGAGGCUUCCAUGUCCAUGUCUUAACUGAAUUUAUCGUACAUAAUUAUACAAAAAUAAUUUCCAAGUAAAUCUUUGAGAACCUCAGAUUUUAACACAGAAGUUUCUCAAAAUGAACAACACUGCCUUUAUUUUAUUUGACUUAUGUACAGUUUUUAAACAUACCACUAGCAAUAAAAUUAUGGUAUUUUUCUGAUAAACUGCUCUGAAAUCUUAACUUGGGAAUAGUCUCUUGUAACCAUUGAACAUUUCUAGGUACAAAAAUGCAUUUAUGGAUACAGAUAAUGUAUUGAGAUUUGCUGGGUCAAUGUAACGAAAGAACAUAGACAACAUCUGAAUAAAACAAUAUUUUCUUUAAAA